RNAcentral lists this ribosomal RNA (522 nucleotides) under uncultured bacterium. RNAcentral describes it as "bacterial SSU rRNA". It matches the Rfam family "Bacterial small subunit ribosomal RNA", at positions 774 to 1297 of the family's 1533-position model. The record is from RNAcentral.
AGAAAAUAGAUACCCUGGUAGUCCACGCUGUAAACGAUGAUUACUCGAUGUUGGCGAUACACAGUCAGCGUCUGAGCGAAAGCAAUAAGUAAUCCACCUGGGGAGUACGAUCGCAAGAUUGAAACUCAAAGGAAUUGACGGGGGCCCGCACAAGCGGAGGAGCAUGUGGUUUAAUUCGAUGAUACGCGAGGAACCUUACCUGGGCUCGAACGUAAGAUGACUGUAGGUGAAAGCUUACAUCUCUUCGGAGCAUUUUACGAGGUGCUGCAUGGUUGUCGUCAGCUCGUGCCGUGAGGUGUCGGGUUAAGUCCCAUAACGAGCGCAACCCCUACCUUAGUUGCCAACAGGUCAUGCUGGGGACUCUAAAGGAACUGCCUACGCAAGUAGUGAGGAAGGCGGGGAGUGACGUCAAAUCAGCACGGCCCUUACGUCCAGGGCUACACACGUGCUACAAUGGCCGAUACAGAGGGCAGCUACCUGGUGACAGGAUGCAAAUCUCCAAACGUACGGUCUCAGUUCGGA